ACCUUUAUAACCCUCUGCAACAGC
RNAcentral lists this non-coding RNA (24 nucleotides) under Cricetulus griseus (Chinese hamster). Lineage: Eukaryota; Metazoa; Chordata; Mammalia; Rodentia; Cricetidae. The record is from RNAcentral.